Molecule: long non-coding RNA, 3535 nt
Filed under: Sorghum bicolor (sorghum)
Lineage: Eukaryota; Viridiplantae; Streptophyta; Magnoliopsida; Poales; Poaceae
Description: long non-coding RNA (SBIC_LNC017729)
Source: RNAcentral
UCCAUAGGCCGAUAAACCCUACCCGUCCUACUAACGAGAGGUGGACUACAGGGGACCAACGUAACUGUCACCUACGCGGCCUACCACACGAUCCAGUUAGUCAGGGGAUAUCCACAAGUAAUCUAGGUCUAAGCACCACGCUUACACCUAUACUACAACUCUAACCUAUAGGGUCCUAUAGAUUAGAAGUACUCAAAAGAGUUGUGAACCAGAACAUACAUGAUUAGUAAUUGCAUAAUGAAUUAGAAGUAGAUUACCAGAGUCAUCCCAUGAGCAAGCUUGAUUAGAGCUUGAUCAUGGCGAAGUACAACCGGAGGAAGAACCGACAGGCCGGCCUCUCCUCUAAUCCUCCUUCGCUCUCCAUCUCGCUACUAUCUAGAUCUACUCUAGUUUAGAGAAGACAGGAGAGCUCUCAUCUCUAAACCCUAGCUUUUGCUCUGUCUAUGAAUAAUGAAUAAUGAUCAAGGGGUGCCUCCUCCAGGGGCCAGGGGGUCUGGUUUUAUAGUCCCCUCAAGUGAACCUGGGCCGUCAGAUCAAACCGACAUUGAUUGAACGGUUAUUCUUGAUCCUUUAGGUCGGUGGAGCAUAAUCUGUGAGAUUGAGCGUGAUUGGCCGAAAAAGGUGGGCGGGCGCCCUGUCCCUGACUCCGUUCGGACUCCGCUUCCUUCCCGUGGCUUCUGGAGUCUUCUAGAUGUAAGAUAAUUGUGUGGCACGUUAAUAUCUCUAUGUAAUCCCGACGUGUGGGCCUUUCUUCCGUAUUUCCUGAUAACCCCCUGCAGAAAUAGACAAACACCAAAACUCAUGGAAUUCUGUCAGAUAAAACCCUAAGUCUCGAUGUUGAUUUCAUUUGGAUCCUUUUCUUUGUUUAUUUGAUAAUUAAAUUUGAUACUUAAGGACCGUCAACAAACUCCCCCAAGCUUACCUCUUGCUCGUCCCUAAGCAAGGAUAGACUCAGCAAUGGAUCAGAAGUUGUUGCAAUAUCUUAAAAAUUUGACGGUACACAUGCUUUUUAAAUAAGUUCUCAUCUCUAAGUUAGAGUAAACUAUCAAGAACUAAAACUUACUUACUUUACCUUUCACCAUGGGACUUGUAACCGUCACUUCUGUCUUGAGUAGUUAAAAGAUAGAACAGUCUAGCCAAGUGCCAUGUCUCUUAUUCUUGAUCAGCUAUAGCUCUGGAGUUUUUGCAGAUUUUCAAAUAAAACUCAAAGAUUCCUUGUAUGACUCUCUCAUAUCUCUCUUUUGUGGUAUUUCUAGAUCCUUACCAAGGCAGUGAUGGUACAUGCCUUCUCUCAAAAUAUGUGGUAUUUGUGGUAUAAGGCAUAGUGACAUUGCCUUCUCUCUCACCCUACUCUAAUAAGGCUUUAAUAUCUGGAGCCCAUAGGUGGGAGAUAAAGUAUACAUACUUACAAGACAUGUAUUGCAUAGUCAAACCAUGGAUCCAAAGAAACAAAUCAAUAAGCCAAAUCAAGAUGUGCAUGUGUGGCGAAUGAAUAGUGUAUGGUGAUGAUGGUGAUAACAAUGGUGAAAGUCUAAUUCUACUUUUGCUCUUUUGAGGGGAUACGUACCUUCCUUGCUUUUUGAAACUUUAUGAGGAGAAUGAGAUGCUCUUCUUUUUCUUUUCUCUCAAAUGGGUAUCCUGUACCCCUAAUUCUACUGUCGGACACUUGUCCAUUUUUACCUCUCGUCUCACACUUUCUCUUUUCUUUCGAGGUUCCGGGCACUUGCCCCUUUUUAUUUCCUCGUUUAUUUUUUUUUUCUUUUCUUUUUUUUUAUUAGAGCACUCAUCUCUUGAGAUAAUAUAGCAAGUGGUAGUAGCAAGAUAACUUGAGCAUUUAUUUCACAAGGGAAAAACACAGAUGUUUUUGGCUAUUCUCUCCCGAAUUAGGAGUAGAAUAUUUUUAGGUGAUUCUGGAGAUGGAAAUGGAUGGAUAUAUGUGGAUGGUACUUCCGGAGUAGAAGUAGCAUAUAUAUGAGUGAACGUGCAAGUGAAUCUUGAUUUAACCACAUGACAAGCUCCUAAGGGUCUACACAGCUUGACCACACUCAAUGCUCAUAAGCAGUAAAUAAAUGUGUGGCUCAAAGUCUAGCAAGCAUGUAUAUAUGGCUGUGGUAGGAAUUUAAACUUUCAUUAUACAGGAACUCAUCAUGCAACAUUUUAAAGAUUUUCAAAGAUAAAAUUCUCCAAAAUUCUAGCAUCUCUAGGAACAGAUAAACAGCAGCUCAACCUUCCCAUAUCUUAUCCGUUAACAACUUAGAUUUAGAUUUCAGAUCAAGUUUUUAUCCCACAAGUUUAGAUCUAGAGCAAGCUUUAAAUUAUAACAGUUAUGUCUAAACUUGAGAGAGAACUUUAAAUUUGCAAAUUAGGCAGAGCAACUAUUCAUCAUAUCCAUGCUAGAGUUUUAUUAUUAAGAUUCAUAGCAAACUUUAUUUAUUUAUUUAUUUAUUUAGGAAACUAAGAAAAGAUAUAUAUAUAUAAGCAUAAAAUCUUUAUUUGGUUUUUCAUAGUUUAUGUAUUUUAAUAUUCUAAUAUAAUAUAAGUAUAAAGAUAGGUAGAAAUACUUAGCGAGAUAAAUAGGGGUGCUCUCCCCCAAGCUGAAUUUUAACGUAAUUUCUCUUGAUGUAGCUAGCAGGUGGCAGAGGUGUAUUUGAAAGUCAGCAGCAUUCUGACAGCUAUUAGAAUGUCCUCCGUCUGCUAGUCUUCUUGAUUCUUAAAUUCUGUGGACUUCAAAUAGACAACAAAGCUUGUGGAACUAAUUAAGUGUUAGCAUAAAUAUCUAGCCUUCGUCACAUUGAGCUUCCUCAAUAAAUAUUACUCCCUGUUUUUAUAUUUUUAUUUUAUAAAGUAGAAAAGAAAUAUUUGUUUUAUUUUUAUGCCACCACAGUGAAGGUACUUAUGGGUUUUAUGCCACUCGUAUACUCACAUGGGGCUUAGUAUUUUUUUAACAUUUUUAUUUUCUUUUCAAGAUAGCAUGAUUAACUAAUAAUCUAUUUAAGGAAAGUAAAUAAUUAAAUGGAAAAGGGAAUGCAGAAAGGAUAAAUAUGGAUAACUACCAAUCUUACCUUUCGGCGAGGGUUCAAUGUUUUAAGUCUUCUUGUCAAGACUUCUCAUCGUGUUCAUUCUUCAGGUGCGUCAUUUGAUUCAGGUGCGGACCUUGACGUCUGCACCUUUUAAUACGGUGUCACCCAUGUUCUUCGUUUGCCCAGCAGUUCGAAGUGCGGUGUUAGCAGUAUCUUGCUCAGUGUGUUUGUGCUCGUAGUGUACCUGCUCAUAAAGACAAGGCAGAGAUCAAGUGCAUGGGCCCUGUUGGUGGAAAACACCAACAGAACCAAAAGUGUAUUUGUUCUUCUCUAACCUUAAGCAUAGUGAGCAAGACAAGUUGAUGGAUGAUAAGUUCAUGAGUGUAGCACUUAUAACAUUUGUCAGAUCAGAUCGCUCAACCUUAUGGAAAGAUAAUCUAUCUAUGUAUAUGUCUUUUUCUUUAUAUCUCUCAAUGAUUGAAUGUGUAACAUUUUAGCUCAUAUGAUUAGGAGUG